Molecule: ribosomal RNA, 253 nt
Filed under: uncultured bacterium
Lineage: Bacteria
Description: partial 16S ribosomal RNA
Rfam family: Bacterial small subunit ribosomal RNA
Source: RNAcentral
GACGAACCGUGCGAACGUUAUUCGGAAUCACUGGGCUUAAAGGGCGCGUAGGCGGGCCGAAAAGUCAGGGGUGAAAUCCUCCAGCCCAACUGGAGAAGCGCCUUUGGUACUGUCGGCCUCGAGGGGUGCAGGGGCAUGCGGAACUCAGGGUGGAGCGGUGAAAUGCGUAGAUAUCUGGAGGAACACCGGUGGCGAAGGCGGCAUCCUGGACCGGUAUUGACGCUGAGGCGCGAAAGCCAGGGGAGCAAACGGG